This is an RNA transcript of Abrus precatorius (Indian licorice), 4332 nucleotides long. It is a transcript of the gene named DEAD-box ATP-dependent RNA helicase 42, with no coding region annotated. NCBI's taxonomy places the organism in Eukaryota, Viridiplantae, Streptophyta, Magnoliopsida, Fabales, Fabaceae. The record is from RefSeq and is a predicted model, not a curated record. The transcript has 4 exons.
UUUUGUGUUUUUGCUUUGGGACACAGAAAGUAGUUCCGUUGUGGUUUGUUCGCUGCCGCAGCGAGGGAGUGCCCUAGCUCACGAGCUUGGCAUCUACGCCAAGUCGCGUCUCAGAAAUCCGUUUCUUUCUCUCUAUCGUUCCGAUUUUGAAGCCGCGUCGCGAGGAGAAAGCAAUGGAUGAGGGAAAGCAUAAAUCAAGGAAGGAAGAUUAUGAAGUGAAAGAAGGGGAUUCUAAGAAGAAUCACCGUGAUCGAGAUCGUGAUAGGGGUAAGGAUAGAAGUGAUGGGAGGCACAGGGAUAGGGAGAAGAGGGACCGUGAGUCCCGACGACAUGAAAGAGAGAAGAGUACUGAUUCUGAAGACAUGUAUGAUAGAGACAGGGAGAAGCGCAAAGAUAAAGAUAAGGAUAGGACACGACUUCAGGAUGUGGACAGGGAAAGAGCUCGAGACAAGAAAAGGGAAAGGGAAAGGGAAAGGGAAAGGGAGAGGGAAGACAGGGAAAGAGAGAGAACAGACAGAAUAAGGGAGAAAGAAAGAGAGAGGGGAAGAAAAGAGGAUAAGGAGAGGAGCAGAGAGAGAGAGAGAGAGAGGGAGAGGGAAAGGAGGGAUCACGAGAGGGAGAAGGAAAAGGAAAGAGAAAGGGGGAGGAGAGCACGAGAGAGAGAGAAGCGUAGGGAAGUUGAUAGUGAUUACAGUGAUGGUGAAUCCAAGGAGAGAGAUAGGAAGCGGCAUAGGAAAGAGGAUGAUGAUUACAAGAGGAGAGAGAGGGAAAAGAGUCUCAGCAAGCCAAACAGGCAAUUAGAGGAGCAAGAAGCAAGUCCAAGAAAAAAAAAUGGUGGAGAUGACUCAGAUACCAAAGACGAAGAGAGAAAACCUUCUCGUGAAGAGGAGAUGGAGGAUGAACAAAGGAGGUUGGAUGAAGAAAUGGAAAAGCGGAGGAGGAGAGUUCAAGAGUGGCAAGAACUAAGGAGGAAGAAGGAAGAAGCCGAAAGAGAAAAGCAUGGUGAAGCAAGUGCUAAUGAACCUGAGUCUGGAAAGACCUGGACGCUUGAAGGGGAAUCUGAUGAUGAAGAAGGAUCGGGUACUGGGAAGCAGGAUGCAGCUAUGGAUGUAGAUGAGGAUGACAAACCUGCUGAUCAAGAACCUAGAGAUUUGAUGGUGGCAGAUGUUGAUAAUGGGACAGUUGCAUCUGAUUUACAGGAUGGAACUGCUGGUGCUCCUGCAGAUGAGGAAAUUGAUCCAUUGGAUGCUUUCAUGAAUUCUAUGGUUCUACCUGAAGUUGAAAAGCUGAACAAUGCUGUGACAUCAUCAGUUUCUGAUAAAGAUGUUGAUUUGAAAUCCAAAGAUAAAGGGGAUGAGCAUAGUCGUGGUGCACAGUCUAGGAAAGGUUCAAAUAAGUCUAUUGGCAGAAUAAUUCCUGGUGAAGAGUCUGACUCAGAUUAUGCAGAUCUUGAAAUCGAGAAAGAUCCAUUGGAUGAGGAUGAUGAUGAGUUCAUGAAAAGAGUGAAGAAGACAAAAGCUGAGAAGCUUUCUUUAGUUGAUCACUCAAAGAUUGAUUAUAAGCCAUUCAAGAAAAUUUUUUAUAUUGAAGUGAAGGAGAUCUCAAAGAUGACUCCUGAAGAAGCUGCAGUAUACAGGAAGCAGUUGGAGUUGAAGAUACAUGGAAAGGAUGUGCCAAAGCCUAUAAAAUCAUGGCACCAGACUGGACUUACUAGCAAAAUUUUGGAGACAAUAAAAAAGUUGAACUUUGAAAAGCCAAUGCCUAUUCAAGCUCAGGCACUCCCUGUAAUCAUGAGUGGUCGAGAUUGCAUAGGGAUUGCUAAAACUGGGUCAGGCAAAACACUUGCUUUUGUUCUGCCAAUGCUGAGGCAUAUCAAGGAUCAGCCACCAGUUGUUGCAGGAGAUGGACCUAUUGGGCUUAUUAUGGCUCCUACAAGGGAACUUGUUCAGCAAAUCCACAGUGACAUAAAAAAGUUCACUAAGGUAAUGGGUCUCAGAUGUGUGCCUGUGUAUGGGGGUUCUGGUGUUGCUCAACAAAUUAGUGAGUUGAAACGUGGUGCUGAGAUAGUGGUUUGUACUCCUGGUAGGAUGAUUGACAUACUAUGCACCAGUAGUGGAAAAAUAACUAACUUGCGUAGAGUCACUUAUCUAGUCAUGGAUGAGGCUGAUCGAAUGUUUGACAUGGGCUUUGAACCUCAGAUCACACGAAUUGUUCAGAAUAUUCAGCCGGAUCGACAAACGGUUCUGUUCUCUGCUACUUUUCCCCGUCAGGUUGAAAUUCUGGCUCGAAAGGUUUUGAAUAAACCUGUUGAAAUACAAGUGGGUGGAAGGAGUGUUGUGAACAAAGACAUAACACAGCUAGUUGAGGUGAGGCCAGAAAAUGAGAGGUUCCUUAGACUCUUAGAAAUAUUGGGGGAAUGGUAUGAGAAAGGAAAAAUCUUGAUAUUUGUCCACUCACAGGAAAAAUGUGAUAGUUUGUUCAAGGAUCUGCUCAGGCAUGGUUAUCCAUGCCUUUCUCUCCAUGGGGCUAAGGACCAGACAGACCGAGAAUCCACAAUAUCUGAUUUUAAAAGCAAUGUAUGCAGUUUGUUGGUUGCAACAAGUGUUGCUGCCCGGGGAUUAGAUGUUAAGGAGCUUGAGUUGGUGAUCAAUUUUGAUGUUCCGAACCACUAUGAAGAUUAUGUUCAUCGUGUUGGGCGUACUGGCCGAGCUGGCCGAAAGGGAUGUUCCAUUACAUUUAUUUCUGAGGAAGAGGCAAGAUAUGCACCUGAUCUGUUGAAGGCCUUGGAACUAUCUGAGCAGAUUGUUCCCAAUGAUCUGAAAGCUCUUGCUGAUAGCUUUAUGGCAAAAGUGAAUCAAGGACUGGAACAAGCACAUGGGACUGGUUAUGGAGGCAGUGGCUUUAAAUUUAAUGAAGAGGAAGAUGAGGUGAGGAGAGCAGCAAAGAAAGCACAAGCCAAGGAAUAUGGGUUUGAAGAAGACAAGUCAGAUUCUGAAGAUGAAGAUGAAGGUAUUAGGAAGGCUGGAGGUGAUAUUUCACAGCAUCCUGCACUUGCUCAGAUUUUGGCUGCCACUAAAGCGAGUGCUCCUGCAUUGCCUACUCCCAUCUCUGCUGCUCAGAUGAUUUCAAAUGGUGGAUUGCCUGUUUCUUUGCCAGCUGUUCUUGGUCUCCAGACUGCAACAGUUUUGCCUGGAACUGGGCUACCCCUUGCUGCAAAUGAUGGGGCAGCCCGAGCAGCAUUAGCUGCUAUAAACUUGCAACACAAUUUAGCAAAAAUACAAUCAGAAGCAUUGCCAGAACAUUAUGAGGCUGAGUUGGAAAUAAAUGAUUUCCCUCAGAAUGCUCGGUGGAAAGUUACACACAAGGAAACUUUAGGCCCCAUUUCUGAGUGGACUGGAGCUGCCAUUACCACCAGGGGGCAGUAUUUCCCACCUGGCAAAAUCCCGGGACCUGGGGAACGCAAACUCUACUUAUUCAUUGAAGGUCCUACUGAGCAGUCUGUUAAGAGAGCUAAAGCAGAGUUGAAACGUGUACUGGAAGAUAUCACAAAUCAGGCUUUGCAACUUCCUGGUGGAACUCAACCUGGCAAAUACUCUGUUGUGUAAGGUCAACGUGAAGGCAUAAUGGGACUCUGUUAAACACUCUUAUCUCGCGCCCCAAUCUGGGACAUGUUGCGCAUAUUGUCUGCCUUUCUUACCCAUUCGUUGUCAUACAGGUGGGUCUUUUGAGCCUAUGCUUGCAUGUGCAAUGAUUCUCCAUCCAUUGUGCUUGCAUUGCAUCGGCGUUGUCCAAGGUGCGCUGAUCAUGGUGCGACUUUUCUUUCAUCUAGGUCCUGUUUGAUUUGAGGGGAACAUCUCUGAACACUGAUUUUUGCCCAAUGUUAUCCGGGUACAAGAGUUGUAGAAUUUACGAUGCUACUUUGGGUUAAUUUAUCUAAUUAAACGUGUGCAUCUUUCAGGUUUUGAUUCGGUGUCCUUUUGUAUGGGAAACAAGAUGUGAUGGGGAGACCGCAUAUUCAGUUGUUAAUUAAUGCAUUUGCCUUAUCACCACUGUUUGCAUUUCAGCACAUGUACCAUAACAGAGUAUCUUUCUAAUUUAAAGUUUACCAUAGAAUGAAAAUGCUUGAGAUGGCUUCUAAAUCGUCAGUUUGGGCUCAGAAUUCAUAAGAUCUUUGCCCCUUGUGCUUUUUUCGUGAAAUUCAACAAUUCUUUUCUGUUGUAAUUCUUACGAAUAUUGUAAAAUUUUAUUUGGCUUGCUUAAAGCAUUUUUAGGAAUUAUUGGUGAAAUAUUCUUAAAUAUGGAAUUACCGGACAUUAUGUGGACCGUGGACCG